RNAcentral lists this ribosomal RNA (979 nucleotides) under uncultured endolithic bacterium. RNAcentral describes it as "bacterial SSU rRNA". It matches the Rfam family "Bacterial small subunit ribosomal RNA", at positions 356 to 1350 of the family's 1533-position model. The record is from RNAcentral.
GGGGAAUUUUCCGCAAUGGGCGAAAGCCUGACGGAGCAAUACCGCGUGAGGGAGGAAGGCUCUAGGGUUGUAAACCUCUUUUCUCAGGGAAGAACAAAAUGACGGUACCUGAGGAAUAAGCAUCGGCUAACUCCGUGCCAGCAGCCGCGGUAAUACGGAGGAUGCAAGCGUUAUCCGGAUUUAUUGGGCGUAAAGCGUCCGCAGGUGGCAGUUCAAGUCUGCUGUCAAAGGUCGGGGCUCAACCCCGAACAGGCAGUGGAAACUGAACAGCUAGAGUACGGUAGGGGCAGGGGGAAUUCCCAGUGUAGCGGUGAAAUGCGUAGAGAUUGGGAAGAACACCGGUGGCGAAAGCGCUCUGCUAGGCCGAAACUGACACUCAUGGACGAAAGCUAGGGGAGCGAAUGGGAUUAGAUACCCCAGUAGUCCUAGCCGUAAACGAUGGAUACUAGGCGUUGUGAGUAUCGACCCUCACAGUGUCGUAGCUAACGCGUUAAGUAUCCCGCCUGGGGAGUACGCGCGCAAGCGUGAAACUCAAAGGAAUUGACGGGGGCCCGCACAAGCGGUGGAGUAUGUGGUUUAAUUCGAUGCAACGCGAAGAACCUUACCAGGGCUUGACAUGUCGCGAAUCUCAGGGAAACUUGAGAGUGCCUUCGGGAGCGCGAACACAGGUGGUGCAUGGCUGUCGUCAGCUCGUGUCGUGAGAUGUUGGGUUAAGUCCCGCAACGAGCGCAACCCUCGUUUUUAGUUGCCAGCAUUAAGUUGGGCACUCUAGAGAGACUGCCGGUGACAAACCGGAGGAAGGUGGGGAUGACGUCAAGUCAGCAUGCCCCCUACGUCCUGGGCUACACACGUACUACAAUGCUACGGACAAAGGGCAGCAAGUUAGCGAUGACAAGCAAAUCCCAUAAACCGUGGCUCAGUUCAGAUUGCAGGCUGCAACUCGCCUGCAUGAAGGUGGAAUCGCUAGUAAUUGCAGGUC